This 477-nucleotide ribosomal RNA is filed under the name uncultured bacterium. RNAcentral describes it as "partial 16S ribosomal RNA". It matches the Rfam family "Bacterial small subunit ribosomal RNA", at positions 30 to 507 of the family's 1533-position model. The record is from RNAcentral.
AUUGAACGCUGGCGGCAUGCCUUACACAUGCAAGUCGAACGGUAACAGGUUAAGCUGACGAGUUGCGAACGGGUGAGUAAUGUAUCGGAACGUGCCCAGUCGUGGGGGAUAACUUCUCGAAAGAGCAGCUAAUACCGCAUACGACCUGAGGGUGAAAGCGGGGGAUCGCAAGACCUCGCGCGAUUGGAGCUGCCGAUAUUAGAUUAGCUAGUUUGUGAGGUAAAGGCUCACCAAGCCGACGAUCUGUAGCUGGUCUGAGAGGACGACCAGCCAAACUGGGACUGAGACACGGCCCAGACUCCUACGGGAGGCAGCAGUGGGGAAUAUUGGACAAUGGGCGAAAGCAUGAUCCAGCCAUGCCGCGUGGGGGAAGAAGGCCUUCGGGUUGUAAAGCGCUUUUGUCAGGGAAGAAAAGGAGCUGGCUAAUACCUGGGACUAAUGACGGUACCUGAAGAAUAAGCACCGGCUAACUACGUG